Molecule: long non-coding RNA, 5618 nt
Organism: Ailuropoda melanoleuca (giant panda)
Lineage: Eukaryota; Metazoa; Chordata; Mammalia; Carnivora; Ursidae
Exons: 3
Source: RefSeq, a predicted model, not a curated record
CACACUACAGAGCAGCUGGGGGGCGGGGGUCUGGCCGGCCCCUCCCGCGCUUCUCCCCGGGGAGCAGGUGAGGCCCUAGUGCAGGGGUGGGCUGAUGCCAAGCCUCCGUGGGUGGGCACAGAUGUUGUGGGGGCUGCUCCAGGUCCCUGGGGGGCUCUGGGUGGACCAGGGCUAUGGGGGCAGCCUGGGGGUUCAGCCCUGUCUCCUUCGGGCAGUCUCUCCUGGACUUGGGGUGUGUGUCCACAUGUGCCAAGGGCCAGCCUAGCCGAGGAUGUGCUCUUCCAGAGGCCUCCGGAUUCAGGGUGUGGAUGGAGGUCUCAGGGGUGUCCAGGUACAAGUGAAUGUGAUAUCUAGAUCCAGGGAGGCCCAGGUACAGGUGAAUGUGAUGUGCAGACCCAGGGAAGUGUAGGUAUAGCUCAAGGAGAGGUUGAGACCCAGGACAGGUGCAGGUGCGUACAAAGGAGAUACCCAGACACUGGUUAGGACCAGUUCCAGGUACAGGGGCGGCCCAGGUACAGGUGAGGCCCAGAUUAAGGUACUGUGGAUGUCUAGUCUCAAGGAGGCUCAGGGUAGGCCCAGAUGUUGUAGUGAAGUGUAUUCCAGUCACAUGGGAGGCCCAGGUCCAGGUGCAGGUGAGAUCCAGGUACAACGGAAUCUAGAUCCAGGGGAGACCGAGUGAAGGCCCAUGUCCGGCCCAAGUUCAGGUGAGGUGAAUGUGCAGGUGCAGGUCCGGCCCAAGUUCAGGUGAGGUGAAUGUGCAGGUGCAGGUAAGGCCCAGGCCCAGGGAUAGUCCAGGGAUAGCCCAGGUGCAGAAAAUGUUCAGGUACAGGCGAAGUGGUAGGCCAGACCCAGGGAAGGCCCAGGCCCAGAAGCAGGGAAGGUCUAAACCAAGGGGAGGUCCAGGGGAAGUCCAGCUCCAGGAGAAGCCCAGGUGCAGCUUAAUGGGAGGUCCAGACCCAGAUGAGACCCAAGGAUGGUCGGGGUAGGACCAGACUCAUGGAAAGCCCAAGGGAAAUCCAGAUCCAGGUAAAGGUGGAGGGAGGGUCAGUAGCAGUGCAGGUGCUGAGAGGGCUCAGGCUCAGGGAAGCCCCCAUCCAGGCCCCGAUACCGGUGAUGUGUACUCAGUCCCAGUGGAGGCCCAGGGUCCUGGCUCUGACCCUCAGGAGCCAUGCUUGAGGGCCCCGGGUUCAGGCUGGUUUUCGCUGUUGGGUCUGUCACUGUGGUAGCUGUAACUGUAGUAACACAGUGGGACGUUCCUUGUCAAAAAGCCCAGGUGGGUGGCAGAAGGAGCCGUGCCCUGCCGGAGGCCCCUGGUCCUGGUGCUGCACUGGGUCUGUCGGCACAGGUGUCCCGUGCACCUGCCCCACCCUACAGAGCAGCUGGGGGGCGGGGGUCUGGCUGGCCCCUCCUGCGCUGUCUCCCCAGGGAGGAGGUGAGGCCCCAGUGCAGGGGUGGGCUGAUGCCAAGCCUCUGUGGGUGGGCACAGAUGUUGUGGGGGCUGCUCCGGGUCCCUGGGGGGCUCUGGGUGGACCAGGGCUAUGGGGGCAGCCUGCGGGGUCAGCCCUGUCUCCUUCGGGCAUUCCCCCCAGAUUCGGGUUGUGUGCCCACAUGUGCCAAGGACCGGCCUGGCCGAGGGUGUACUCUUCCGGAAGCCUCCGGAAUCAGGGUGUGGAUCAAGGGUCCCAGGGGUGUCCAGGUGAGGUCAGGUUUGGACCAGACUGAGGGGGCCCUGAGCACUGGGAUGGACGGUCCAGAGACAUGGGUCCCAGAGACAUGGGCACGAGGGUCCAGCCCUCCCCCUGGAGGAACUGUUUUCAAACCGUAUUGGAUCAGCCGCCCUGAAGGGGCUCAUAUGUGGCCCACCGUCGCGCUUCCCACAGGGCAGGGUGCCAGCCCACCUGGGCCUCACACAGGGAGCUGGUGGUGUGGGAACGGGGUCGCACGGGGUUGGGCUGUGUGGGGUUUGUGAUGGGCUCUGUGAUGCUGUGGUAGUAACAUGUCCCAGCAGUGCAAUAAUACCAGAGUGACACAGACCCACCCAGAAUCCUUCUUCCCUGGGGGGCCACCUGCCUGUGGGCCCAGCUGGGGAGCCUCCUGGGAGGCUCAGGCUGAAGCUUGGGAUGGAGGCGGAGCCUGGGGAGGUGGUGGGCAGGCCCAGAGCUGCAGGUGUGCUGCUGGAGCCCUGGAGGCCUCUUGCGCUCUGGUGGGGGCUCCCUGGCGGGGUGCGGCGCUGUGGGGCUCGUGUGUGUACCCAUCUUGGAUGCAACGACAUUGUGACAGCCUUCUGGGUUAACCGUGGCCCCAUGGUGUGGGGAUCACUCUGGGACCCUUCGUGUGCCGGGGCCAGCAGGUGGUUCCCAGCCAGGGAGGCCAGAGGUGGGGGGAGAGGGCAGGUGUCUCUCCUGGUGUCUCUGAGCCUUGGGACUCUGGGUCUGAAUUGUGCUCCGUGGCCUAGGGCGUCUGGAAGGGCGGUACCGGCUUGGCCUACCUGGACCCGGGCCUCUGGCUGUGCCUCUGAUGCUCAGCGGCUGUCUCCCUUGCCAUAUGCCUGUGGGCCCCUUGUCUCUAAAGCCGCUGUGGGGAUGGACCCAGAGCCUCUCCAGUCCCAGAGAACCUGUGUCCUGGGUGUCGCUUCGGUUCUUUCAGGUUCCAGGCAACCUGGAGCAGCUGCAGGUGAGCAGGUGCAGGUGUGUUCGAGGCCCGGAUAGAGUUGCGUGGUUGUCCAGACCCAGGGAGGCCCAGGACAGGAGCAGGGGCUGUCCAGACCCAGGGAGGCCCAGGUGCAGGGGCAGGGGAGGUCCAGACCCAGGGAGGCCCAGGUAUAGAUCAUGGGGAGGUCCAGACCCAGGACAGGUGCAGGUGCAUGGGAAGGAGAUAUCCAGACCCUGGUUAGGACAAGUUGCAGGUGCAAGGGAGGCCCAGGUGCAGGUGAGGCCCAGGUUAAGGUACUGUGGAUGUAUAGUCCCAGGGAGGCUCAGAAGGUGCCCAGAUGUUGUCGUGAAGAGUAUUCCAGUCAUAGGGGAGGCCCAGGUCCAGGUGCAGGGGAGGUCCAGAACCAGGAGAGGCCCAGGUGCAUUGGAAGGGGAUAUCCAGAUCCAGGUUAAGACCAGUUACAGGUGCGGGAGAGGCCCUGGUGCAGGUGAGGCCCGGAUUAAGGUGCUGUGGAUGUCAAGGGCCAGGGGAGGCCCAGAGGAGGCCGAGACCUGGAAAGCCCAGGGUCAGGUUUGGUGAGGUCCAGCCCCAAGGGAGGCCCAUGUCCAGCUGCUGGGAGGGCUAAUCCCAGGGGAGGUACAUCCAUUCAGAGGUGUGGCUCAGGUACAGGUGGAAGGGACGUCCAGACGCAGGAGAGGCUAAGGUGCAGGGGAAGGUGAGGCCCAGGUACGGGGGAGUCCCAGAUACAGGUGAAGUGGUAGUCCAGACCCAAGGGAAGGCCAGGUGCAGGUGCCCAGCUGGUCCAGACCCAGGGCUCAGAAGACCAGGUGUAGGUUAGGUCCAAAUCCAGGGGAGGUCCAGGUGCAGGUUAAAGGGAAGUCUGGACCCAGAGGAGACCGGGUUGCAGGAGAAGGUGAGGCCCAGUCCAAGCAGAGGCCUAGGUGAGGCCCAGGUGCAGGGGAGUCCCAGGUUCAGGUUUGGUGAAGCCCAGGCCCAGGGAGGCUGAGGGGAGGCCCAGAGGUUGCCCAGGUACCGGUGAAGUGUAUUCCAGUCACAGUGGAGGCCCAGAUACAGGUGCAGGAGAAUCCCACGUUCAGGUUUGGUGAGGCCCAGGCCCAGAGGAGGUCAACGGGAGGCCUAGAGCCAGGGGGCACCCAGGCCCAGGUGCAGGGGAAGGUCUAAACCAAGGGGAGGUCCAGGGGAAGUCCGGUCCCAGGAGAAGCCCAGGUGCAGCUUAAUGGGAGGUCCAGACCCAGAAGAGACCCAAGGAUGGUCAGGGGAGGACCAGACUCAUGGAAGGCCCAAGGGAAAUCCAGAUCCAGGUAAAGGUGGAGGGAGGGUCAGUAGCAGUGCAGGUGCUGAGCGUGCUCAGGCUCAGGGAAGCCCCCAUCCAGGCCCCGAUACCGGUGAUGUGUAUUCAGUCCCAGGGGAGGCCCAGGGUCCCGGCUCUGACCCUCAGGAGCCAUGCUUGAGGGCCCCGGGUUCAGGCUGGUUUUCGCUGCUGGGUCUGUCACUGUGGUAGCCACCGUAGUUACACAGUGGGACGUUCCUUGUCAAAAAGCCCAGGCGGGCGGCAGAAGGAGCCCUGCCCUGCCGGAGGCCCCUGGUCCUGGUGCCUCACUGGGUCUGUCGGCACAGGUGUCCCGUGCACCUGCCCCACACUACAGAGCAGCUGGGGGGCGGGGGUCUGGCCGGCCCCUCCCGCGCUUCUCCCCGGGGAGCAGGUGAGGCCCUAGUGCAGGGGUGGGCUGAUGCCAAGCCUCCGUGGGUGGGCACAGAUGUUGUGGGGGCUGCUCCAGGUCCCUGGGGGGCUCUGGGUGGACCAGGGCUAUGGGGGCAGCCUGGGGGUUCAGCCCUGUCUCCUUCGGGCAGUCUCUCCUGGACUUGGGGUGUGUGUCCACAUGUGCCAAGGGCCAGCCUAGCCGAGGAUGUGCUCUUCCAGAGGCCUCCGGAUUCAGGGUGUGGAUGGAGGUCUCAGGGGUGUCCAGGUACAAGUGAAUGUGAUAUCUAGAUCCAGGGAGGCCCAGGUACAGGUGAAUGUGAUGUGCAGACCCAGGGAAGUGUAGGUAUAGCUCAAGGAGAGGUUGAGACCCAGGACAGGUGCAGGUGCGUACAACGGAGAUACCCAGACCCUGGUUAGGACCAGUUCCAGGUACAGGGGCGGCCCAGGUACAGGUGAGGCCCAGAUUAAGGUACUGUGGAUGUCUAGUCUCAAGGAGGCUCAGGAGAGGCCCAGAUGUUGUAGUGAAGUAUAUUCCAGUCACAUGGGAGGCCCAGGUCCAGGUGCAGGUGAGAUCCAGGUACAACGGAAUCUAGAUCCAGGGGAGUCUAGAUCCAGGGGAGACCGAGUGAAGGCCCAUGUCCGGCCCAAGUUCAGGUGAGGUGAAUGUGCAGGUGCAGGUAAGGCCCAGGCCCAGGGAUAGCCCAGGUGCAGAAAAUGUUCAGGUACAGGCGAAGUGGUAGGCCAGACCCAGGGGAGGCCCAGGCCCAGAAGCAGGGAAGGUCUAAACCAAGGGGAGGUCCAGGGGAAGUCCAGCCCCAGGAGAAGCCCAGGUGCAGCUUAAUGGGAGGUCCAGACCCAGAAGAGACCCAAGGAUGGUCAGGGGAGGACCAGACUCAUGGAAGGCCCAAGGGAAAUCCAGAUCCAGGUAAAGGUGGAGGGAGGGUCAGUAGCAGUGCAGGUGCUGAGCGUGCUCAGGCUCAGGGAAGCCCCCAUCCAGGCCCCGAUACCGGUGAUGUGUAUUCAGUCCCAGGGGAGGCCCAGGGUCCCGGCUCUGACCCUCAGGAGCCAUGCUUGAGGGCCCCGGGUUCAGGCUGGUUUUCGCUGCUGGGUCUGUCACUGUGGUAGCCACCGUAGUUACACAGUGGGACGUUCCUUGUCAAAAAGCCCAGGCGAUGGGUGGCACAGCGGUUAAGCAUCUGCCUUCUGCUCAGGGCGUGAUCCCGGCGUUAUGGGAUCGAGCCCC